RNAcentral lists this ribosomal RNA (322 nucleotides) under uncultured eukaryote. RNAcentral describes it as "partial 18S ribosomal RNA". It matches the Rfam family "Eukaryotic small subunit ribosomal RNA", at positions 1470 to 1796 of the family's 1831-position model. The record is from RNAcentral.
CCCUUAGAUGUUCUGGGCCGCACGCGUGCUACACUGAGUGGAUCAGCGGGUCAGGUUGCGCGAAAGUGUUUCCUAAUCUUUAAAUCCGCUCGUGAUGGGGAUUGACGGUUGCAAUUUUCCGUCAUGAACGAGGAAUACCUUGUAAGCGCGGGUCAUCAUCCCGCGCUGAAUACGUCCCUGUCCUUUGUACACACCGCCCGUCGCUCCUACCGAUUGAGUGGUCCGGUGAGGCUUUGGGAUCUGGGCGGAAAGAGCGUUUCGCUGUUUCUGCCCGGAAAACUCAGUCGAACCUUAUCAUUUAGAGGAAGGAGAAGUCGUAACA